AGAGUUUGAUCCUGGCUCAGAACGAACGCUGGCGGCGUGCUUAAUACAUGCAAGUCGAACGAGAAAAUCCGGCUUCAGCUUCGGUUGAAGUUGGGUGAGUAAAGUGGCGAACGGGUGAGUAACACGUGGAUAAUCUACCCCUGAAUCCGGGAUAAUCCUUCGAAAGGGGGUCUAAUACCGGAUAACACCGCCGGGUGACAUCAUCUGGCGGUCAAAGGCGGGGCAACCUGCCGCUUGGGGAUGAGUCCGCGCUCUAUUAGCUUGUUGGUGAGGUAACGGCCCACCAAGGCUUCGAUGGAUAGCCGACCUGAGAGGGUGACCGGCCACACUGGGACUGAGAUACGGCCCAGACUCCUACGGGAGGCAGCAGUAGGGAAUAUUGCGCAAUGGACGAAAGUCUGACGCAGCAACGCCGCGUGGGUGAUGAAGCUCCUUGGAGUGUAAAACCCUGUCAGUGGGGAAGAACCGUACGGGGAGUAACUGCCCUGUACCUGACGGUACCCACAGAGGAAGUCCCGGCUAACUCCGUGCCAGCAGCCGCGGUAAUACGGGGGGGACAAGCGUUGUUCGGAUUUACUGCGCGUAAAGGGCGCGUAGGCGGGCCAUCAAGUCGGAUGUGAAAACCAGCAGCUCAACUGCUGGCCUGCAUUCGAUACUGUUGGUCUUGAGUACAGGAGAGGAGAGCGGAAUUCCAGGUGUAGCGGUGAAAUGCGUAGAUAUCUGGAGGAACACCGGUAGCGAAAGGCGGCUCUCUGGGCCUGAUACUGACGCUCAAGCGCGAAAGGCUUGGGGAGCAAACAGGAUUAGAUACCCUGGUAGUCCAAGCGGUAAACGAUGGGUACUAGUGUCGGGGGUAUCGACUCCCUCGGUGCCGAAGCUAACGCAUUAGUACCCCGCCUGGGGAAUACGUCGCNGNUG
Molecule: ribosomal RNA, 918 nt
Filed under: uncultured bacterium
Lineage: Bacteria
Description: bacterial SSU rRNA
Rfam family: Bacterial small subunit ribosomal RNA
Source: RNAcentral